UACGUAGGUGACAAGCGUUGUCCGGAUUUACUGGGCGUAAAGAGCGCGCAGGCGGUCGUACAAGUCGCGUGUGAAAGCCCCCGGCUCAACUGGGGAGGGUCACGCGAUACUGUUCGACUCGAAGGCAGGAGAGGGAAGUGGAAUUCCCGGUGUAGUGGUGAAAUGCGUAGAUAUCGGGAGGAACACCAGUGGCGAAGGCGACUUCCUGGCCUGUUCUUGACGCUGAGGCGCGAAAGCUAGGGUAGCAAGCGGG
Molecule: ribosomal RNA, 253 nt
Filed under: uncultured bacterium
Lineage: Bacteria
Description: partial 16S ribosomal RNA
Rfam family: Bacterial small subunit ribosomal RNA
Source: RNAcentral